Molecule: RNA transcript, 5709 nt
Organism: Zootermopsis nevadensis
Lineage: Eukaryota; Metazoa; Arthropoda; Insecta; Blattodea; Termopsidae
Gene name: sphingomyelin phosphodiesterase
Source: RefSeq, a predicted model, not a curated record
AUGUGUUUAUUACGAGGAAUUGUGUUGAUUCCAAGGAGUUGGUCAGUCGGCGGUGUUGGUGUAAGGUAUACAGUUACGUUUUGUAGUGGCUUAUACGUAUAUCAUAAUCGUGCGAAGACCAAAGAUACAAAUGUGUUACAGCACUUCACUUCAAGACGAAUGACAUCUUCAAUGAGAGGCUGGUGACCGCUGCUCGCGAGGUUCGUCCGACAGACUGGGCGAGUAUGCUGUUCCUCUCCCGACCAUGGUACUACUACUUUGUGUCGGUAGUGCUGCUCGUCAGAAUCACAACAGGUAGCCCAGUGCCAUCUUCAUCUGAGUGGACAGCAGAUUAUGAUGAUUGGGAUGUAACAGGAGGACGGGCAGGUUGGUAUAGUGUGCUCAGCAAUGGCUCAGUUCCUGCCAUACUGAUGCCCCAGAAUUACAGCCAUGACUUGCCACCCACACCUAGUCCAGAGCAAAUCAAGGAGAUGGAGGAGGAGACACAUCGGCAGUUUGAACUUCUCAAAAUCAAUUACACACGGCUCCUAGAUGAUUUAGAUAGUGAAUUAAAAGAAGAUCUGAGAAGUGGUCGACAUCUACCAAGGAUUGUGGACAAAGCUCUGAGAUUAUUCAACUUGAAACAAGUGGUACAAGAAGUAGAAACUAGUGUCAUGUCUAAAGUUUCAUGCACAGCUUGCAAAGCAGGUGUUGGACUGCUUCAGCACUACAUCCAUAUAGGAAAGACAAGAGAGGAUAUUGUGAAGAUUACAUAUCAGUUUUGUGUCAGUCUUAAUAUCCAGCCAGCACGAGUCUGUGAAGGGAUAACUGAAUUGUUUGGGGGUGAAGUUGUCUAUGUGCUCAAGAGAAUAAACCUUGGAGCAGAAGAAAUCUGCAGUUUUGUAAUAGGAGAUGCAUGUGGCGAUGUAUAUAACCCUUAUCAUGAGUGGAAAGUUGUCUUCCCUCCUGUGCCAAAACCUGUAGUUACUCCACAAGUAGCUCCUAUGCAUGGAGCACCAACAUUUAAAGUGCUUCAGCUUUCCGACACACAUUUUGACCCAUACUAUCAGGAAGGCACAAAUGCAGACUGCAAGGAGCCACUCUGCUGCAGACUCACUAAUGGACCUGCCCUUUCACCUCAAACAGCAGCCGGGCGAUGGGGAGACUACCGCAAAUGUGACACUCCCAGGCGAACUGUUGACCACAUGCUACAGCAUAUAUCUAGCACACACCCAGAUAUAGACUAUAUCCUGUGGACUGGAGAUCUGCCCCCACAUGAUGUGUGGAACCAGACGAGGGAAGAGAAUCUUAUGGUACUGAAAGAAACUGUAGCCCAGCUAACUAAAACCUUUCCUGGAAUUCCAAUAUUUCCUGCACUUGGAAAUCAUGAGAGUGCACCAGUCAACAGCUUUCCUCCACCAUUCAUUCAAAAUGACUUUGCUAUCUCAUGGCUGUAUGAUGAAGUGGACAAUCAGUGGAGACAGUGGUUGCCAUCAUCAGUAUCAAAUACUGUGCGCCGAGGCGCUUUCUACAGUGUCCUAGUGCGGCCAGGCUUCAGGAUCAUCUCCCUCAACAUGAACUACUGUAACAACAAGAACUGGUGGUUGCUGCUGAACAGCACAGAUCCAGCAAAGGAACUUCAGUGGUUCAUCUAUGAACUUCAGAGUGCAGAGUUCAGUGGUGAAAAGGUCCAUGUGAUAGGACAUAUUCCUCCAGGACACAGUGAUUGUCUCAAAGUAUGGAGUAGAAAUUAUUACCAUAUUAUUAACAGAUAUGAAUCAACAAUUACAGCUCAGUUCUUUGGUCAUACUCAUUUUGAUGAAUUUGAGUUAUUUUAUGAUCGCAAUGACUUAAGCAGGGUUACCAGCAUAGCAUACAUUGGUCCAUCAGUUACACCUUAUUAUGAUCUAAACCCUGGCUACAGAAUAUAUUACAUUGAUGGAGACCACAAGUCAACAACAAGGGCAGUGGUUGAUCAUGAAACAUGGGUCAUGAAUCUCAAAGAAGCAAACUUAUAUAAUUAUCCCAUCUGGUACAAGCUGUAUAGUACUCGAUCAGCCUAUCAGAUGUCUUCACUUUUACCCCAGGACUGGGACAACCUUCUCAACAAACUAGCUGGUGAUACAAAGCUUUUUGAUCUUUAUUACAAACAUUACUGGAAGAAUUCUCCAGUGAGGCCAACUUGUGAUGCUGAAUGCAAAAAACGAAUGCUCUGUGAUCUGAGAUCAGGCCGUUCACAUGAUCGCAAAGGACUCUGUCAGGAGUUGGAGAGCCGUAUUGAUGCUAACACACGAACAGGCUGGCGUGCGUGGAUCUACAAUGGACUGGCACUCUCGAGAUCUGUCUUUACAGCUAUCGUUUCGUUCUUUUCUGGCUGAAAGCUGGAAAUAUUUCCUUGGGGGACACUAAUCUUGGUCACCCUGCUGUUUCUCCGGGAAGAUGUCUGUUAUCAUGGCAAUCCCAUCCUUUACAUACAAAAUACCUAAGUUUGUCCUGGGACUUGGGUAAAUAUGAACUCUAAACAAAACAAUCAAUCAUACAAAUGUUAUUUAUCUAUGAUAGAGUAUUGCUAGUAGUAGCAUCCAGUCAGGUUGACACGAUAGCACAUUUGUGACUGAGAAAUCUUUUAUAGUGAUUUAUUGUUCUGGCUUCUGUUUUACAAAAGCCUGUGUAGAGUACUCAUUUUUAUUCUUCUUGUGAAAAAACAUGUCUACAGAUAAGAUAUUGACAAGUCUAGUUAAAGAGUGUAGAGUAAAUGUGUAGGAGCCAGGAACAAAAUGCAAAGAUCUCAAGUUUGAAAAAUAAACAUGGCACAUGAAUUGUAGCAAAUUUUUUAUUUACUGAAAGACUAACCAUAGAAUGCAACAGAAACUCAUUUAAUAUGUAAGAAAGGAGUAACUCCAAUUACAUUAUUAAAAAAGAAAUAUUUCAUUAUAAAUUGGUUGGUGGUUCUAUUUUUUAAACAAUGGUUGUAUUUGAAGUACUGAAGUCAAGAUGGCUUGAUUUCAUAUAACUUAAGUCAGUCACAUUAACUCCUAUAAUGCUUCUGUGCAUGUUACCUUAAAAUUUACCAGUAAUUCAGAAGCAGUUAUGACUGUUGAUAAGAAAGAACUUUGUAAGAUAGAAUUGCAGGAAAACUUUUAAGUGGAGAAUAGAGGAUCUAGGGUUUUUUAAAUUUAUUAUGUGGGUUAUAUAGGCAUUAAUGUGAAGGUUUAUGUCAAACUUCUUUAAAUGUGGAAAAUGUUUCAGAUGAGAUUGAAAACUUGCUUUGUUAUACUUUAUCUUAAUAAGCAUGGUGCAAAGGAAGUAUUUCAUGUUCAUAAAAAUAAGAGCAAUGGAGUGAAAUUUGUUCCUGGCUUCCAUUGUCCAAGUAGUGAGAGUGAGCAUGACAUAUACACUGACCUUGUAAUUAAAUUUUUCAUUUUUGUUUACUGCAGUUAAAUCAGUGAUUCUUAAAAAAAGCCCAUGAAUUUUGCUGUGUGAGUUGCACAAAGUGAAAACAAGAAGCCAAUGCAGUAGUUUAAAAAGUUAAUAUAAAAAUAUUACAUUAUUUACACAGAAAAGGAGAGGCAGGCAUUUUAAUAGUCUCAAAUUAUAUAACAUUACAAUUUGUUGGCAAAGAGAUGGGCAUUUUAUUUCUUACUGUCUUAAAGAUAUCAGUAAUGUAUACAUUUGCAAACAUAUAGUCUUGAUGGCAUCAUGACUUAAUCCAGCCUUCAUGAUUACAAAUAUGGUCAUACAGAAGAGGUAACAGUUUAUUGUUUUAUGUAAAGUUUUGUAUAAAUUUCUCAACUCAAUAUUUUCUCCAAAAAAAUAAUUGCAUAAUUCCUGAAGUGUUAACUAUGACCCAGUGGUAAACCAGGUUGCUGGCUGUAAAAAUCUGAUUCUGUGGAAAAGUCACCCCAGUUCAUACAUUCAGUAACACCUACCAGAGUUCAUUUCCCACAGUUCAUCUUGUACAAUUUUACAAUCUCCCAGCUGAGACUUGUUUGCAUUUGCUGCCCCUCACUCUCAAAUGAAAAAAGUUAAAUACUCUGUACAGCAUAAAAAUUAAAGCAAUUUUAUUUAGCCAAUUACACUUUCAAUCAAAUGACCUAUACCUGUCAGUCUAUAAUGAUAUUUUGUAGGUCACAAUUCUGUACGUAGUUCUUAUUAUACUGUAACAUUUUAGGUGUCUGUCCAAAAAAAAACUCCAAUCUGAUUAUGAUAUUUCACUUUCUUUCUAGUUUUAAAUCAAUGUUUUUCUUUUCUUUUCCUGAAAACCUGUUUUUAAGGAACACAUUCAAAACAAGCAUAUUAUCAGUUUUGUUACACAUCAUUAUCAUAACUAUAUCCAUAAUUAACUUCUGCCACAAAUGCCUUACCAGUUAAUAUGCAUUGCUUGUUGCACACAGUAAAUCGGUACCUUAUUUCACCUGUCAUAAUUUUUAUUCAACAUUUUCAAGUCCCAGACUGUACUUUUAUAUUUAUUUUAUUAACAAAAUGGCUGAAUAUCAGUAUUCUUCGUUUAUUUCCCAAUGGGUCUUUGCAUUCCUCAAAGCAGAAGUAUUACUGUUAAAUGCAAUUAACAAGGCUUUCAGUACUUGAUACCACACUUCCUGCAUCUGUGGUUCAGAUUACCUGUCAUCUUUGUCUCAUUUCAAUAGAGCAGUGUUCUGCAACUGAUGUGCCACAAGGUUUCAGGUGUGCUGCAAUUUUUUGCAAAACACUCCCACACAUACAUCCCAGUUCAUAGUAUAGUUUUAUUCAACAUGUGUUGUCUCGGUUUCAUAUCCCUGCAUUCUUAUAGAGCAAGGAUUUGUAUGUAGUUACAUAUUUAUGGCCAUGUAAAACAGUUUCAUACCUGCUUUUCUUGAGCAAAGUCUGUGGUGUGCCAUCAUGUGUCUUUGACAAAUUAGGGUGUGCUGCAAGUGAAGAAAGUUUGUGGAACACUGUAAUACAGUACAGUGGGCUUUAAUAAGAAUCACUGAUGUAAAUUGAACUGCAUGGGAACAAACUCACAUGGGUCAACAUACAUGUGCAUAUUAUUCAUUUUUUCAUUAAACCAUAAUUAUUGUAUCUUGGCUGUCGUCAGUGAAACUGAAGUCGUAUUCUGCUUAUGAUUUUGGCUUCAAAGUUCACAGGUUAAAACUAAGGACAUGGUUUUUUCUUCUUACAUUUUACUAAUUGACAUAAUAAAGUGCAUUUGCUCUUUUAACUCUGGAACUAAAUGAACAAACUUAAUCUACUUUAAAAUAGGUAUAAAUUUAUCCAUGCUUACAACUAGCAUAAUUACAAUAGAUGCCCUGGAAGUUUCAUCCACCUCUGGCUUGGUUUUUAUAUUUACUUUGUGAACUUUAAAACUGUAAGCCAGAUGUUACUUUAAACCAAAUGAUAUUACAGUCAUUUUAAAAAUGAAUGCUUUACCUUCAAAGGUGUUUUUACCAAAUUUUGUAUAUUUAUGCUUGUUUUGUUGUUGAUUUAAAAUGAGAUAUUUGAUAAUAAAAUAUUUUAUACAUUCCAUAAUUAAAACUGUGGAAGCAGUAUUACACUGGUCAAACAGUUCUUGAUUGGCAUUAUUGAGGAUACGUACCACUACUGGUGGCAGUAGUGAGUGAAGUUUAGGAAGCCUGGAAUCGCAGAUUCAAAUCUUGGUCAUCACUGACAUGCUAGUCCACAUUCUUAUGUAUCAUCCUGUGAUAACAGAGGCAUUACAAUAGCCUGAUAUUCAUUAAAAGUAACCCUGCUGUU